UACGUAGGGGGCUAGCGUUGUCCGGAAUCAUUGGGCGUAAAGCGCGUGUAGGCGGCCCGGUAAGUCCGCUGUGAAAGUCGGGGGCUCAACCCUCGGAUGCCGGUGGAUACUGUCGGGCUCGAGUACGGAAGAGGCGAGUGGAAUUCCUGGUGUAGCGGUGAAAUGCGCAGAUAUCAGGAGGAACACCAAUUGCGAAGGCAGCUCGCUGGGACGUUACUGACGCUGAGACGCGAAAGCGUGGGGAGCGAACAGG
RNAcentral lists this ribosomal RNA (253 nucleotides) under uncultured bacterium. RNAcentral describes it as "partial 16S ribosomal RNA". It matches the Rfam family "Bacterial small subunit ribosomal RNA", at positions 524 to 776 of the family's 1533-position model. The record is from RNAcentral.